Molecule: ribosomal RNA, 424 nt
Filed under: uncultured bacterium
Lineage: Bacteria
Description: bacterial SSU rRNA
Rfam family: Bacterial small subunit ribosomal RNA
Source: RNAcentral
UGGGGAAUAUUGGACAAUGGGCGCAAGCCUGAUCCAGCCAUGCCGCGUGAGUGAUGAAGGCCCUAGGGUUGUAAAGCUCUUUCGGCGGGGAAGAUAAUGACGAUACCCGCAGAAGAAGCCCCGGCUAACUUCGUGCCAGCAGCCGCGGUAAUACGAAGGGGGCUAGCGUUGUUCGGAAUCACUGGGCGUAAAGGGCGCGUAGGCGGGCUCUUAAGUCGAGGGUGAAAUCCUGUGGCUCAACCACAGAACGUCCUUCGAUACUGGGAGCCUGGAGUUCGAGAGGGGUUGGUGGAAUUGCGAGUGUAGAGGUGAAAUUCGCAGAUAUUCGCAGGAACACCAGUGGCGAAGGCGACCAACUGGCUCGAUACUGACGCUGAGGCGCGAAAGCGUGGGGAGCAAACAGGAUUAGAUACCCCCGUAGUCC